Neofelis nebulosa (Clouded leopard) is the source of this 1449-nucleotide long non-coding RNA. RefSeq lists it as uncharacterized. Lineage: Eukaryota; Metazoa; Chordata; Mammalia; Carnivora; Felidae. The transcript is spliced from 2 exons. The record is from RefSeq and is a predicted model, not a curated record.
GGGCGGGGUGGCCGGGCCGCCAGCUUUGGGCGAUAAGCGGGCGGGGUGGGGGGGGGGGGGGCGGUGGGACCCCUUCCCGGGCGGGGGCGACCUGGAGGCCCCGAGGUCCGGACGCCCGCCGCGACCUUGGUGCAGCCACGGGGCGGGAGGACGCUGCGGCAGCCGCUUGACCUUUGAAACUUGCGUGCUUCUCGCCGCCACCUUGCAAGCUCAGCGUCAGCUCCAGUCUGCAGAGGGGGACAAUGGAGCUCAGAGAAGUUCGGCACGCUGUCUGAGGUCACGGCGCCGCCGCCCAAGCGAGGGCCCGGGUUUCUGACACGUGUCUCGCAGGACGCGGUCCCUUGGAAGCAGGCAUAACAGGAUUGAUCCUGUCGUAGCGGCCAACGGAAUCGGCCCCCAAAGGGGCACCGCGGGAAGCUGCCGGCCCGCACGCGGCACCUGGGAGCCUGCCGGGUGUCGUCGAUCCCCUUCGGGCGCCGCAGAGAGGCCUGCGCGGCGCCCAUCACCCCCCCCCCCCCCCCCCCCCCGGCCCGGCGCAUCAAUCACUUCGCCAAAGAAAAUUUGUUCUUAACAUCCCUCAGGUGCAUGUGUAGAUGAGAUCGGAAGCGGUUGACAGCCGCCUCUGGAGUCGUGGGCUCCUGACAAAUGCUAAGGGACAGCCACAUGGCACUGUCUCUUCCCCAGUAUUUUCUUUCUUUCUUUCUUUUUUAAACGUUUAUUCACCUUUGAGAGAGCGUGAGCAGGGGAGGAACAGAGAGAGGGAGACACAGGAUCCGAAGCAGGCUCCAGGCUCUGAGCUGUCAGCACAGACCCCACGCGGGGCUCGAACCCAUGAGACCAUGACCUGAGCCAAAGUCGGAGCCUUAACCGACUGAGCUCCCCAGGCGUCCCUCUCUUCCCCAGUAUUGCGAAGGCAGCCGUGGACACAAGGGCAACCUUUCCGCUCCGGGGUAUCGGCCCCCACCCGCUCAGGGACUCUGUCCAGCUCGGCGUGGAGGUGGGACCUGCCAUCCAGAAAGUCCUCCCGACGCGCCCUCGCAGGAACAAUACUUAAAGGAAAGCCCCCUGAUGGUGCACGGAGAGCUGGCUGUCGCAUCUGUCUCCCUGGGACACCGGGCUUGGUGAUCAGUGGGGGGAAUCUCAGCCCUCUGCUGGCUGCAGUCAGCUGAGGAGGCUUUCUGGAAGCGUAAGUCCUCAAGCAUGGCUGCCUCCGGGAGCUUCCCCCGCUGCCCUGAGCUGGACCCAAACGGCCCUGCUUCUGUUUGCAUUCAUGCUACCAGAGCGGUCCGUGGGGGUGGGGGGAGGGGGGGGUCCGCGACACAAAUGCCCACUCCCCACUUGGGUGGCCCAGGCCCACCAGCUGCCUUCACUUCUGGUAGCAUCAGCUAUUUUAAUGCAGAGUUAGGCACACAAUCCUUGCUAAAAAUAAAUACAAAGGAAAACCCCAAA